Long non-coding RNA from Raphanus sativus (radish), 1969 nucleotides. RefSeq lists it as uncharacterized. NCBI's taxonomy places the organism in Eukaryota, Viridiplantae, Streptophyta, Magnoliopsida, Brassicales, Brassicaceae. The transcript is spliced from 4 exons. The record is from RefSeq and is a predicted model, not a curated record.
CGCAGUUGAUAGAACCAAUGAGGUUAAGUGAAUGUGGAGAGCUUCCAUUUCGGGCUGGGGAAAUUCUCCCGAGAGUUACCAUUCCAAAUAGAAGCCAGAGAAGAAUACCUACUGCUUGUCUUGGACCUUGCGGACCAAUGUAGGUGAGAGAAGAGGACCAAAUGGAGACCAAGGGGUUGUCCAGAAAUGGCAAGAACCCCCACCCACUACCAGGUGGAGGAAAAGAUGAGAAUACACAUUGCUCAAGGUAUCUAAUUUCGUGUCUUUUUUGUUUUGUUUUUUUGGGAAAGUCUAUAUCUACUUGGAUUGAAAAAGGAAGAAGCUUAUGUGUAUUUUCAUAGUGUGGAAACAUUUAGAAACUAGCGUCCUAUCAUUUGAUUGAUUGAGGUUAUGUUCCAGUUGAAUUUUACAGUUAUGAGAUCACUUUGUUAUUUCUAUCAGUUCUUGGAAGAUGUUCUAUAUUUACUUUAGAUUGAAAAUGGAAGAAGCUUAUGUAUUCAUAAUGUGGAAACAAUUAGAAACUAGUGUCCUGUCAUUUGAUUGAUCGUUAGAGAGGUUAGGUUCCAUUUGAAUUUUCACUAUGAGAUCACUUUGUUAUUUCUAUCAGUUCUUGGCAAUUGCUUAGAUUGAAAAUGGAAGAAGCUUAGGUGUAUCUUCAUAAUGUGGAAACACUUGUGAGAUCAUUUUGUUAUUUCUAUCAGUUCUUGGUAAUUAAUAUUCUAUAUUUUCUUAGAUUGAAAAAGGAAGAAGCUUAUGUGUAUAUUCCUAACGUGGAAAACAAUUAGGAACUAGCAUUCUGUCUAUUUGAAUGAUCAUUAGAGAGGUUAGGUUCCAUUUGACUCUUAUACUUGUGAGAUCACUUUGUUAUUCCUACCAAUCCUUGCAAUAUACAGAUUUUCCCUCUUGUUUCAAUGUUUUUUUUUUAAAUUUAAAUUGCUUGUUUGCAAUAAUGUGAUGAUGAUGUGCAUGUUUGUUUGUUUGUUUCUGUGCAAUUAUGUGAUGAGCAAGAAGUUUGUGAGUUUGCUGGCGAGAUUGGAGAUGGUCAGGAGGAGCUUGGGAGUGAGACCUGAUGGAUAUGAUGAUGACAGACAGCUGUUUGAUGUGGAAGAAGAGCACCAUGUCAUAGAAGAGCAAAGGUUACGCUUUUGUGUGCUGUUAAAGAAUUGUACAACACCAAUGGAUCUUUGGUAGCUACUUGUGAUAGAGACAUGAAGCGUAGGAUUUGAAAUCUUUGGAUAUCAUCUUGGUUCCUGGUGUGCCUAUCAUGUAUUUGGGCGGGUCGCUAGUACUCGAGUUGAGAGGCUCCCUGAAGCAACACUUGGUAGAGCUCCAAAGAUAUUAAUAUGUGAUCCGAUUCCGAGAAGCUCUGAAGCCUGAGUUAGUCUUCGAACAAGAAGAUACUACCUGCCUGUAAGUCUCCAAUGAAACCAGCUCCAUGUUGGCAACACCACACAAACUCGAAAAGUCCAAAAACAUUAAGGUUGAGGGCAAGCUUUGGUGGAGGAUCCAACAGCAAAGUGUUAGCCCAAAAAUGCAGUCCAAAAGGCUCGGGUUCGAGAGCCAAGCAAGAUCCAAAGGCAGCUCGGUAGACAGCAAACAGAGUCAAGUCUCACCGAGAAGAAAACAAACAAGGGAUAAUAAAACUACGCACUGGUCUUCAGCAACCUGAUGACCGAGUAAGCUAUCGAGAGCAGUGACUUGAGAAGUUUAACAUCUGAUAGCAACAUAAAGCUUGGGAUCGAACGUUGACAUCGAGGCUACAAGCAAACAAAAAGAAUCCAGACUUUGGAAACAGACAAGAAGACAGAUCAUAUCUUAAACUUUUGAAAGUUAUCUUAGACUCUCGCAGUUAUGACCUUUUGCGCACGUGGUAGUAGUAGUGAAACUUACAUUUCUACCUAUCUUUCCUUUCACCUAGCAGUUACAAAUGUAUGAUUAUAUGGUCCAACUAUCUACUCCUCUGUUUCAA